This 207-nucleotide unclassified non-coding RNA is filed under the name Glomus sp. Its description in RNAcentral is "partial contains 5.8S ribosomal RNA and internal transcribed spacer 2". The stretch from base 1 to 72 matches the Rfam family "5.8S ribosomal RNA", at positions 84 to 154 of the family's 154-position model. Lineage: Eukaryota; Fungi; Glomeromycota; Glomeromycetes; Glomerales; Glomeraceae. The record is from RNAcentral.
GUGAAUCAUCGAAUCUUUGAACGCAAAUUGCACUCUCCGGUUUUCCGGGAGAGGAGGCCUGUUUGAGGGUGAGGCUAAAUAAAAUCGGCUUAGUAGUUUGCUGUGUUUUUCACGGUAACGGUGGGCGGAAUUUGGGUCAUCUUAAACCGAAAGGUUGUGAAGCGACUGAAAAUUUUCUGACGAUCUCGCGAACGUUGCGAAGAUUUU